RNAcentral lists this ribosomal RNA (492 nucleotides) under uncultured bacterium. Its description in RNAcentral is "partial 16S ribosomal RNA". It matches the Rfam family "Bacterial small subunit ribosomal RNA", at positions 29 to 507 of the family's 1533-position model. The record is from RNAcentral.
AGUGAACGCUGGCGGUAGGCCUAACACAUGCAAGUCGAAUGGCAGCACAGUAAGAGCUUGCUCUUACGGGUGGCGAGUGGCGGACGGGUGAGGAGUACAUCGGAAUCUACUUUUUCGUGGGGGAUAACGUAGGGAAACUUACGCUAAUACCGCAUACGACCUACGGGUGAAAGCAGGGGAUCUUCGGACCUUGCGCGAUUGAAUGAGCCGAUGUCGGAUUAGCUAGUUGGCGGGGUAAAGGCCCACCAAGGCGACGAUCCGUAGCUGGUCUGAGAGGAUGAUCAGCCACACUGGAACUGAGACACGGUCCAGACUCCUACGGGAGGCAGCAGUGGGGAAUAUUGGACAAUGGGCGCAAGCCUGAUCCAGCCAUACCGCGUGGGUGAAGAAGGCCUUCGGGUUGUAAAGCCCUUUUGUUGGGAAAGAAAAGCAGCAGGUUAAUACCCCGCUGUUCUGACGGUACCCAAAGAAUAAGCACCGGCUAACUUCGUG